Long non-coding RNA from Bos taurus (domestic cattle), 1103 nucleotides. The record is from Ensembl. Lineage: Eukaryota; Metazoa; Chordata; Mammalia; Artiodactyla; Bovidae.
CGCUCUGUGCCCAGGACAGCCCCUCCCAGGUCCCUGCUGGGAGGUGUCCCAAUCCCGAGCUCCCUGGAGAGGGAGCAGGACACGACGCUCAAAGGUCAUCCAUCGGUCCCCUGACACUGGGGACUGGCCGGAAAGCCGGGGUUGUGCAGAGGUCUGGACGUGGCAGGUACGGGAGUCCACGCGGCCCUGGUCCUCCCCCUGGACCAGGAGGAGCGGAGUGCUACACCCCGGGGACCCUCAGCCCACAGCCAGUUUCCGGCUUGGACUCUGCCACCUGGUUCAUCUUGGGGGGUUGAGGUAGAGGAAGUGAAUUGAAACCAUUACUACCAUCACCACCCAUCCCCCUCAGCUUUGUAAAGGUUCUCCGCCCGGUUCGCCACUUGAAGCCUGGACAGAAGGGGACAGGGGUUUCCACGGGCUAAGGAGGACACCUGUCUUUGUAUCACCACUGGGUGGUGCCCACACCCCCGGGGGAUGCUGGUGAUGGAGUUGUCUAAGCCGGGUUCUUAGCACUGGUCAGGAUCAGCCUGAGAGCUUCUGAGCCUUCGCUGGACCCGCGUCCUGACAAGUUCCCAGGUGACAGUGAUGCUACUGGUCUCGAGGCCACACCUCGACAGGCCUCUGCCACCUCCCGUGUGUGUCACAGCCCCCCGGGGUUCAGAAGCCCCCCCAGGUGUCAGGCCAAAUCCCACUGGAUUCACCAGAGCAUAGGAUAAAGCACCUGACCUGCUGUGUACCUGCCAGUCCGUGACCUUGGCAGGGAGACCAGGGGCCUGGGUCCUCUCCCUGGAAGGGACAGUGAUGCCCCAGCCCCGUUUUCCCACCACCUCUGUGUGCCUCAGGAGGGCCCACUCCAUCCUCGCCCCCCGUCCUCUGUUUCCACACAACGCCCAGCCUUGUGCUCUGUUCACAGUUCCAUGUGGGCCCCCUCUCUGCCCUGCUCCCGCACCAGACACACCCCUGCAGGUGCCACCAAGAGUCCCAGGCAGCCCAGCGUCAGGAGGGCUCCUGGAUCCAGCUGCCCACUGGAUAGGGGUCAUCACAACAUUCUGGAAACGGAAAAGUUGCCUUAACCAUUUUCACAGAGAGGAAUUGCCCCAGCG